ACACAACUGGGGAAUCCGUGAGGGGAUGGGUAUAAUCCUUGAGCCUAAUUUCUUACCCCGGGAGUGGUUAUCGUAGCUUGGUGAGCAUGACCGCAAGACGGUAAGCCUGAAAACUACAAACCGCACCCACUUGAACCUCUGGUUCAAGGUCGAAGUCUCCCACGAUUUUUGGGGUGUGUC
This 180-nucleotide non-coding RNA is filed under the name Thiothrix sp. Its description in RNAcentral is "6S RNA". It matches the Rfam family "6S / SsrS RNA". Rfam says of the family: E. coli 6S RNA was the first non coding RNA to be sequenced, but its function was unknown until recently. It consists of 184 nucleotides that fold into an extended hairpin structure with a large single-stranded internal bulge. Lineage: Bacteria; Pseudomonadati; Pseudomonadota; Gammaproteobacteria; Thiotrichales; Thiotrichaceae. RNAcentral also lists the same sequence under 1 other name. The record is from RNAcentral.